Molecule: long non-coding RNA, 1928 nt
Filed under: Mus musculus (house mouse)
Lineage: Eukaryota; Metazoa; Chordata; Mammalia; Rodentia; Muridae
Description: long non-coding RNA chr12:73656261-73658189
Source: RNAcentral
UUACAGCAUGAUCUUGGUGUCAUAAAAGCAACUCAGAUUCUGGCUUUUUGUUUAAAAGAUAAAUACUUUCUUUUUUUUCAUUUCAUUUUUCUUUUAGCUUUCUUAUUAAAGACAACACCAAGAACAUGCAAAAUCAGACAAGGCAGCCUAAGAAACCCAUGUCCAACAUAUAAUUAUUAUGUAAAUUCAGUAGUCAAUUCAUGGAGACUGGGGAGUUGGCUCUGUUGAUAAAGUGCUCAUAGGUCACGAUGAAGCCCUGAGUUCAGAUCCCAGGCUCCAACCCACAAAGCCAGGUGUGGUGAUGCACACACCAAUCAUCAGGAAGAGGUAGAAACAAGAACACGGGUGUUCACUGCAUACGUAUAGUCUCACUGAAUUGGUGAGCUCUAGGUUUGGUGAGACUCUAACUCAAAAAAGAAAGCAAUAAAGGAAGACACUCAACACUAACCUCUAAACUCUACGAGUGUAUACACACACACACACACACACACACACACACACACUCGUUAGCUGUGAGUUUGAAGCUUGCUUAGGGAAACGGGUGGUGGGUGGUGGUUUUAUCUUGAGUCGUGUGUCUCCGGGGCAAUGCAGAGAAGACCCUGGGUGUUAUUAACCUCUGCAGCAGGCAGCGAGUUAGAGUGCACGGUAAGGGUUUGACCUGUUUCUUUCUGCACGUUUGCCUCAGUGUUCCCCUCAUGCUUCCUGUCUCAGACCACGGCUGCAUGAUUGUGAAGCUCGGCUCAGACCCUGCGGCCACGGCCACAUGGACGGAGAAGCAGACGAGACGAGGCUGUUGCAAAACUGCAGCCCACAGUUUCACACUCUGGCUAAUGCUUCUCGCACCUGCCAUUUUAAAAAGAAAAGCAGUCACCUCUGCUGGCAGUUGAUUUAUGAUGUUUCUUUGUCACCUUUGAAGCCCUGUGAGAAUGUCUUGGCUUAGGUUUGUUUUUUUUUAAUCAGCUUUAAAAUUUAUUCAUCUUGUUUAUUGCAUUAGUCUUGGGAAUGAGUGAAUACUUUAGAAUUCUUCCAAGCCUGAGCAAUCCUUGUGAUUGGCAUUGGAAAUGACUGGCAAGUGAAGACAGGGUAGAGGAACUAGGGAAGGAAGAGAUGAUACUUGCAUCUCUUCUCCAUGGCAUCUAGCGUAUUUGUGGAGCAUCUUCUGGGGACCGGGAAGUGCCACACUCACAUUAGAACACAGCUCUGCCUCAUUCCUUCUGCUGUCAGGAUGGCCUCUUAAUCAUGGAGUCCCUGCCAUCCUGAACAUUAGCCCAUUUGCUUCCAACAAACUUGUGUGGCCAGUGUGGUUCUCAGUGUGCAAAAGGUGAGGCAGUCUGGGGACAGUGAUUUCCUCUGACCCAAUGUAAGAUAAAUGACAGAGCUGAACUCCAGUCAGAGCAAGUCCAAGAUCUUUUCAGAAUAUCUAUCUGUCCGGAACAGGGAAGCCUAGGUUGAGGGGUUCCAUCUAAUGGGCCAUCUUGCUGCUUUGUAAUAGGGUAGUGUUAUCAUACAAGGAGGUGGGAGACUUACUUAACAGCCUUGAUAAUGACAGUUGAUUGAAAGACAGAGCUCCUGUUACCUUAUUAUUGAGCUCCCCAUGCCAACACUUGCAUCAAGGGUUACAUUUUCCACAUAUGAGCUUCAGUGAGCACAUCAACACCCCAGUACAGCAUUCCUUAGUGUUCUUUCUCUACUCCACCCCGAGGAGAACUGACUUUGGUGGUGGCAUAGGGCCACCUUCUGCAGAGUCUCCCAUCUUGUGAUACUUUUUUUGCAAGGUUUCUUAUGGGCUCCUCCUUUGACAUGAAGAUCAGCACUCCCUUGGGGGCCUAAUGAACAUGCCAUUUUGUGCCUGGAACAGCUUUUCUACCUUGGAAGAGUGACAGGCAAACUGUAGUAAUGGAACUUGGCAAUUUGUGAGAUAUUUUCCU